RNAcentral lists this ribosomal RNA (504 nucleotides) under uncultured bacterium. Its description in RNAcentral is "partial 16S ribosomal RNA". It matches the Rfam family "Bacterial small subunit ribosomal RNA", at positions 30 to 523 of the family's 1533-position model. The record is from RNAcentral.
AUUGAACGCUGGCGGAAUGCUUUACACAUGCAAGUCGAACGGCAGCAUAGAGAGCUUGCUCUCUGAUGGCGAGUGGCGAACGGGUGAGUAAUAUAUCGGAACGUACCCAGUAAUGGGGGAUAACGAAUCGAAAGAUUCGCUAAUACCGCAUACGCCCUACGGGGGAAAGCGGGGGAUCGUAAGACCUCGCGUUAUUGGAGCGGCCGAUAUCUGAUUAGCUAGUUGGUGAGGUAAAGGCUCACCAAGGCGACGAUCAGUAGCUGGUCUGAGAGGACGACCAGCCACACUGGAACUGAGACACGGUCCAGACUCCUACGGGAGGCAGCAGUGGGGAAUUUUGGACAAUGGGGGCAACCCUGAUCCAGCCAUUCCGCGUGAGUGAAGAAGGCCCUCGGGUUGUAAAGCUCUUUCGCAAGGGAAGAAAACUUAUCUACCAAUACUAGGUGAGGCUGACGGUACCUUGAUAAGAAGCACCGGCUAACUACGUGCCAGCAGCCGCGGUAA